Molecule: ribosomal RNA, 253 nt
Filed under: uncultured bacterium
Lineage: Bacteria
Description: partial 16S ribosomal RNA
Rfam family: Bacterial small subunit ribosomal RNA
Source: RNAcentral
UACGGAGGGUGCAAGCGUUGUUCGGAAUCAUUGGGCGUAAAGCGCGUGUAGGCGGCUUGGCAAGUCAGUUGUGAAAGCCCGGGGCCCAACCCCGGAACUGCAUCUGAAACUGCUUGGCUGGAGUCCCGGAGAGGAAGGCAGAAUUCCCGGUGUAGGGGUGAAAUGCGUAGAGAUCGGGAGGAACAUCUGUGGCGAAGGCGGCCAUCUGGACCAGCACUGACACUGAGGCACGAAAGCGUGGGGAGCAAACAGG